Non-coding RNA from Saccharomyces cerevisiae FostersB, 73 nucleotides. Lineage: Eukaryota; Fungi; Ascomycota; Saccharomycetes; Saccharomycetales; Saccharomycetaceae. The record is from Rfam.
GGUCCUAUAGUGUAGUGGUUAUCACUUUCGGUUUUGUAUCCGGACAACCCCGGUUCGAAUCCGGGUAGGACCU